CACACCUGACUGAUCAUUGGUAAUUCUAUAAUUUGGUUUUUGCUUGUUUGUUUGCUUUUGGGUGUUUGUUUUGUAUCAAGGAUACAACCUAGAAUAAUUUAGGUGCUAAAACAAUGUUCAACAUCCAUAAUUCUUUUUUAUUAUUUAUUUUUUGAGAUAGGGCCUUGCUAAAUUGCUUAGAGCCUUGCUAAAUUGCUUAGGCUGGCUUUGAACUUGCAACCCUCCUGCCUCAGCUUCCUGAGCUGCUAUUACAAGCAACCACCAUCACACUGGACUGCAGUUCUAUAAUUUGGAUCUGGAAUAUUCACCAAAGCCCAUGUAUUGAAUGUUUAAUCACCAUCCCAUGGCACUGUAGGGUGGUAGAGGAACCUUCAGGAAAUAAUACCUAGUAAAAGGAAGUUAGAUGACAUGCUCUUGAAGAGGAUACUGUGACCCUGGCCCUUUUCUCUUUCUCUUCCAUACAAAUUGAAGUGAGUAUCAUUGCUCUCCACAUGAUCCCAUGUUGAUGCUCUGCCUUGCUCCACAGGCACAAAAACAAUAGAGCCAGCUGACCAUGAGCCAAAAGACAGUUUUUCUCUUUGUAGGUUGAUUUCUCUGAUAUGUGGUUAUAAUGAGGGAAAACUAAUUAACACAGGCAGUUUCCUCAAAUCUCCAAAAUUUUCAGCAAAAUAGUAAACAAAGCAACAUGUAGGACUGUGUCAGGUUAUGGAGUUACAGUUCUCAUCCCUGGUUACACAUGACAACAUGCAGGCCAAUAGCAUGGGCAAGAUGGUGCUGCCUAUGACUGAUCUGAUUGAGCUCAACUUAGGAAACCAAGAUGACCCACUUUUGGUUUAUCCAGAGACAGUGAGCAGGGUGAAUUUAGUGCUGAAAGGCAGAAUUCUACAAUUUGGAAUGAAGAACUAUUUAAGCAGGAUGAGGAAGUAUGCUGGAACUCAGAACCAGGCCAUUCCCACUGGGUGAUUCUAAGAUUUCCCCAGCAUAUCUAGGACUCCCAGCUGCAUAUCUAGGACUCUCAAGGUUCUUCUCCAGUCACAGGUGCCACAUAGAAGAUUCACAAGUGAGUAAGGUGUUCAACAAAUCUUGAGGACUUCAAAUGACUUCCAACAUUUCCCAUGCAAGAUGCUGAGGUGAACCAGCAGAUGAUGACAUUUUGAGGACUACAUUGACUUUUUUUCAGAUUGUGGUGAUCUACCACCUGAAGGUAUUAUAAGAGAAGAAGGUAUAAGGCCUCUGAAUGUCCAGCUCCUCCAGAAAAUUAUCAGGGAAGCUCAGCAAAGCCCUUCAAGUUCUGUACAGAUUUGUUGGUUCUUCUUAGGAAGAGUCUCCUCCCACAUUCUGUACACAAGUUGCCUAUGAGACCAGUUUGGGGCAUGCUCCAUUCCAGGUCAACCAUUUUGUUCUCAGAGUGUGUGGGUCCCUGAAAAGUGGCACCUCCACUCAGUAUCUGUGGGACCCAUGUUGUGCUGGAAGUUUGAGGAUAUGGUUAUCAAUCAUAAGGCAGGCCAUGAGGUAGAAUAGAGGCUAUGGAGGCACAGGCACCAAUUCAACUUGCAACCUCCCCUUGGUGGAUGAACAGGGCCUCCCAGCCUUGGGGAUGAUGGAGAACCCACUUUUUAGAGGAAGAAAUCCCUGUCCAUCCCAGAACCAAGUUGAGAGGAUGGGGUCCCAUCCAGGAAACUCACAUUCCCAUAGGUUCGUAAAUAAUGCAUUUCCAUCAAAACACACACACACACACACACACACAAUGCACCAUAUACUCAUUACAAAUACUUGCUGGGUUUAGUUUCAAACAGGUUCUUAUAAAGAUGCCAAAACCAGUCUUGAAUUAGAAAUCAUCCUGCUUCAAGGUACAGAGUAGCUGGGAUUCCACAAGUGCACCAUCAUGCCUGACUCCCCACUAAUCUUUCUUAUAAAUUAUUUUAUUAUAUACACAUGUGCCUAUUUCUUUUUAGGUGACAUUAUAAUUAUAUAUACUUAUAUAAUAUAAUGUCAUGUUUCCACACAUGUAUACAUUAUGUAAUGAUCAAAUGAGGAUAAUUAGCAUUCCAUCUACCUUAAACAUUAUCAUAUCUUUGUUGGAAAAAAAAAAACCUUAAAUCCUCUCUUGCAGCAUGUGUCUGACUUUAGGUUCUUUUCUCAUUUUACAUAUUAAUUUCUCUAUCUGUACAAAUACAUUAUGUUAGAGACUUCAAUUAAUGUAGAGCUUUCCCUACAUAACCCUCUUAUCCAUUGUACAUUUUUAUAAUGAAAAAACAGAAGAAUGAAACUGAAUGCCUUACUAACACUAAAUUUGCCUUUCAUAGAUUUCAUUUUCAUAUGUACCUUUCAUAAACAGGGUUUCUCAUUUCAGAACUUUGACAUUAAUGCUUAUGUCUCUAAUGUCCUCGUGAAUCAGGCAAUGUACCCAGCACUGCUCCAGCCUCAAAAUUCCAGUGAAUUUUAACAGAUGACAUGGCUUCUUUUACUUUCCUUCUUUCUAGCUCCUUCCCCACCAACAGCCAGAGGUGGCAGGAAUCUGGAGACUCAUCCCUGGGUGCCUCCUGCGCAAGUGCAGAUGCCCCAGUGGAAGAAGUCCUCCUCCCUCCUCCUCCACACCACGCCCACCCAGGGCGGUGCCACAGCCAAUGCAGCUGAGCUCAGAGCCUCACUGUGGGGUCUGCAGGGGCAAGGACAGCUGCUCCCUGCCCUCCCUUAGUGGUUGGUUGCGGAAUGCAGUUCUUUUGUAUGAGAACGCAUUUUCUCCAGUCAUUCUGCUUGCUGACCAACAACUUGUUACCGCUGCUGGCAGGCCUGUCCUAUCACAUGAACUUCCACCAUUGUGAUGUCACCACCCUGAAAUCCUCACCAGAGGAAGAACAGAUGGGGCUACCUGAUCUUGAGUUUUCAGCCACCGAUAUUGUUCUUCAGGAAAUGAGGGUCAGGAAAAGCAUCAAGACUACAGAAAGAAGAGAAGCACUACCCAAGAAGUAAUGAUGUCUAAAGGUGCAGUGUGAUCAAGCAACUCACUGGUCUGUCUCCAUCUCCACCAAGGUCGGUGAUUACCAACAUGCACAGAAAUGCCAUGUUUCCCUUGCAUUGAAAAUGAAGAAUUUAAUAUCCAUAUUGCCAGGUUGAGAAUGCCACGUUACUUACAAGCUGUCUUCAUAUGUGAUUAUUUUGUGAAUCAUCUAUCCCUUUGUUCAACUAUUCCAUUGGACUGCAAAACACAGAGUACAUGUGCAGUUCAUCAUGAUCCAUGUGUGAGUUCCCAUUGUCAUGUGGUUUAGGUAGUACAGGAAGCUGCUUGGCCAGAAUUGAAGUCCCAUGGGAUAUCCAAAACUCUGACAUAAAUUCCUUUCUAAGGCACCUACAGUGGUCUCAGCAUCCACAUGAGUGACAUAUUUAUUAUUUGUCUCUUCCAGACAGCAAAGCUAUUGACAUAGUCUCCUUGUUCUCAUAAUAGGAAACUUUAAUAGUUCAUUCACUUUGUAGCCAUUUUCCUGAAAAGGUGGCUUGGCCAUUAGCAAAAGUUCUCAUGAACAGUGGUUUCAAAGAGUGUGACCUGUAUGAGCAAAAUAUCUCAGUCAAAAGAUGGGUACCUUCUGGCUGGAUGGUAGUUGCAGUCUCUAUUCAGUUGUUUCCUAGAGCUGUCAGUAAACCAUUCCAUACUAUCUAGAUAUGACUCAGUUCUGGGCUCUAGGUAUUCACAUGAGGAAUCAAAGCUUCUUUAAAUCUCUUCUGGGAGGAUACCUGUUUGUUAAUGGAGUCUACCAGUCCCUUGAGGUUCUAGCAGGACCCAAUGUUGAAUAUACCAUUUCCAGUGAACUCUGUUGAAGUUGUCCAGAUUUAUUGAUGGGAUUUGUGAAUACACAUGUGAGAAUGAGCAUUUGAGGUUGCAGAGUUGCAUGAGGUGUUCUAUCCAUGAGAAAUUCAGUCCUCUUCAGUUCCUAAGAGCAAGCAAAGAAUUGCUAUUCAAAAGAAAUAUAUCUGGAAGCUGCCUUAGGCAAUUUAGAUGUCCAAGAUCUGAGACACUGGUGUACCUGGUGUCAGUUUUCAUCACCAUAGCCUUCAAUCAGAAUGCAUGGAGGUUGUAAACAGCUGAAAUUUCAUCAGGCUAUCAUGCUUCAAAGAUUUUAAAGUCAGUGUCUAAGUCACUACUUGUUGAACAGCUUCCAAAUUUUAGUGCUGUAAGGGAUUCAUUCAUUGUCAGUGGCUUUCUUGAUUAUCUUGGCAAUAGGGAACAAAGGAACCCCAAGUGGGGUAUAUACUAUCUUCAGGACCCAAAGAGUGUUACCAUCCAUCUGGCCUCCUUUUUAUUAGUGAGUGCCAAAAGGGCUUUUUUAAGUUAGUUGUAGUGAUACCUGCCUAUGGUUCCAGCUACUUGGGAGUUGAGGCGGAAGAAUCACUUGAGCCCAGGAGCUCAAGGACAGCCUGGUCAAUAUAAAUAUAGUGAGACCCUGUCUCAGUUUUGUUUGUUUGUUUGUUUGUUGUAGCUUAGGAUAUAUUUGGCUUCUUGUCCAAUAGCUUUGGCACUCAUGACUUCCAAGCACUAGAGGCCUCUUUGACCAGCUAAGCUGGACAGUUACAUAACAACAUGGUGUGUAGUAACAUUUUUAUCUGUACCAAAGUAGACUUGAAUAACAAAAUAUCGCCAGCCCUCUGUAUCCACAGAUUCUGUGUUGGUGGAUUCAAUGAAUCAUAGGUCAAAAAUAUUUGAAAAAAAAUAUUGUAUCUGUAUUGCACAUGUGAACACAUUUUUGGCACUAUUCCCUAAAUAAUACAUAACAUUUAUAUUGUAUUAGGAAUUAUAAAUAAUUAUGUGCAUGUAUGUUUUGUGUAUGUAUGUUGGUCAGAUUUUCAUCAUUGUGACCAAAAUAACAGACAUAAAUAACUUAAAAGAGGAAAGAUUUAUUUAGGAUCAUAGUUGAAGAAAUUUCAGUUCAUGGUUGGCCAGGUCCAUUGCUUUGAUCCUACAGCAAGGCAACACAUUUUGGUGGAAAGAUAUGGCAGAGGAAAUCUCUUUAACUUGUGGCAGCCAGGAAGUAGAGAAAGAGAUGAGGGGGGCAAGGAUAAGAUAUAUAUAGUCUUCAAGGGCAAGACCUCAGUGACCUACUUCUUCUAACCAUGACACUUCACCUGCUUAAAGUUUCCAAUAAAUCCAUUUAGAUUAUUGAUCCACCAAAUGGGCUAAUCCACUGAUGAGGUUAGAGCUCUCAUGAUCACAUUAUUUCCUAAAAGCCCCACCUCUGGACAUUUCUGCAUUGGGAGCCAAGCUUUGUGGGGACAUUCCAUAUCCAAACCAUAACAGUCUGUUACAUGCAAAUACUAUAUCCUCUAUAUUAGGCUUCAGAAUCUUCAGAAUUUUAUAUCCAUAGAGUAUCCUGGAACCAAGUAAUGAAUGUAAUGUCUUUAUUUCCAUUUAGUAUGCAAUAUACCUCUCUUUUUGGUAUAAUUGGGAAGGAGUUGAAUAGUUUAGGUGGCCAGCAGGAAUGAAAAUGCUCCUCUGUUAUAGCUUAAUACCUAGCUAUCAGGGUGUAUACCCUUAGUGGCAAUGUUCUGUAUACAAAACAAUAGCCAAAAUACCAAUGCCUAUAUUGCACUUCACGGUUAGAACCCUACUCACCAGCACCUGAAGUGGUCAAAGGGGCCCAUCUACAAGCAGAUAAGCACUAUUUGCAGGUAAAUCUCAGGAUUUACCAGGUUUGUCCCAAAACCUUUUGAUCUCAUUAGUUUAAUUUUUUAUCUAAGGGAACCACAAAACAUGGUCAUGUAAAUCUAGAAUUCAGGAACCUAACCCAAGUCUAUACUGGCCUCAUUUUUGUAAGAUACAGGGUCUUGUUAUGUUGCUCAGUCUUGCCCCAAACUCCUCAAAUCAAUCUAUCCUCCUGUCUCAGUCUCCUGAGAAAAUAGAACUGCAGGCAGAAGGUACCCUGCCUGGUUCCUCUCUUAUCUUGACAGGAAUACAAGGUCAUUGGCCUCCAGUGGGAAAUAAAGACCUUGGCUUCAUUCUUACCUGUACCAUUUAUCCAUAGACUCAUAGUUCUCCAGCGUCCCUUUGUCAGACAGACAUAGCAGUCAGGCCUUCUUCCAAAUCUGUACUUUUCAUAGUGAGUUUCCCCAUCUGUGAUGGUCAACAGGGCACAUGUUCAUUCCUUCUCAUGCCUCAGGAAUACCCACUUAGCAAGCUUUCAGGAUCUAUUAAUGAAUGAUCACAUAAGUGCUCAACAACCAGAUAAUGGUACCUUAUUUCCACAUUUCUUUCUUUCUGCCUUGGUCCAUGGAUCCAGCUCAUUUACAUCAUUAGGGGGCAAGGUAACACAUCCUUCUUGUCCAGCCAUCCAGCCUUAUAACUCAGAUAGUUGGAUGUUCAUAUCCUAUGUUCCUAUAGGGUCUCCACCUAAGGCUGGGGAUUGGAGUUUCCUUCCCACAUUAACGAAAGCCAUUGUUCUGUCAUACCAAACCCUUCUCACAGCACCAAUAUUGUGAAUCAGGUUCACUAAUAACCAGUCUCAAUAAAUGACUUUGAACCUAUGGAAGACAGCAGAGCUCAUCACUGUGCCAACCAGUAGGAACAGGAGUCCAAAUAAUUUUGCCCACUGCAUCCUCGGUUGCAGUUUUACUAAUUACCUGAGUCUAGUGAGACAGAAAACACUAGUACAUAAUGAUUUAAGUGAAGCAGAUGUAAUACUUAAAGAUAGGCGACAAGAGAGAAAAAUAAGAUAAAGAUAAAAAAAGAUAAAGAAAGCUGGGGAAAUACUGGGUAAUGAUAUUGGUCAAAUUAUAUUGUUAUUUUGUGUUCAUGUAUGAAUAAGUAACAACAAAUCUAAUUAUUAUGUACAAAUAUAUGCAACAAUAAAAUAUGGAAAAAAUGUUUUAAAAGCCUGGGUUCCAUCAUGAGAUAGUUCUUGAAAUCUCCAUCCAUCCAAACAUUGCACAGAGUAGAUGGAGUAUCGUUAUGAGAUGUAAGGUGUCCUCUAAGAGCUCAUGUGUGAGUCAAUAUAAGAAAGUUCCAAGUAGAAAUGACUGGGUUAUGAGAACUGUAACCCAAUCAGUGUAUCAACCAGUCAGUGUAUCAAUGGAAUUAACUAAGUGGUAACCAAAGGCAGGUAGAGUAUGCCUGGAGGAGGGGGUCAUUGUGGCAAAAAUUUUGUAUCUGGUGAGUAGAGAUUCUGUAACAUUCCUGAUCAUCAUGUGAACAGCUUCCCUCUGCCACACUCUUUAUACAUAAUGUUCUGCAGCAUCUCAAGUCCUGAGUAAUGGAGGCAGCCUUCUAUGGAAUGAGAAUUCUGAAACCUUGAGCCCCAAACUAAACUUUUCCUCCUCUGAAAUUGUUCUUGUCAAGUCUUUAGUCACAGCAGUGAAAACACUAAAAUGAGUAUUGACUGCAGGUACCCCAAUUCACUAAACCUGAGGGACCCCAAAAGCCAACAAAUGUUUUGUUAUAUACCUCAGGGAUAACAUGACUCACUGGGAAGCUUUGAAGAAUAUACUGCCCCAAAGGAAAAAGGAACAAAGUCAAGGCUAUUCCUGGCAGUUUCUCCCCAUGGUACUGGGUUCCUAUAGUUAUUCUUGAGAUCUACUAGUGAAAAACAGGAGAAGUUCGUCAUUCUAGGCCACCCAUAGAACUUUCCUGCAUCAUUUCCCCAAGAAGUUCUAGGUGUUUCUUUGAAGUAAUUCUUCCCCCACACUGAGGCUUGGUAGUUACUGAUAUGAUCAAGAUAGCUUGGCAGUUACUGAUUACUCCUAUCUCAAUAGCACUGACUUUUCUAGAAUGUCAAAAUGAACUCAUUCUAUAUGAAAUGUUUUGGGUCUGCUUUUCCCUCUCCCAGAAUCAUGUUUUUGAGAUUCAUUCAUGUUGUUUCAUGUAUCAGUCAUUUAUUCCUUUGUAAUGUUGAGUUGUAUUCUAUAGAAUGAAUGUGUAAUAAUUUUCUCAUUUUUUUACCACUUCAUAAAUAC
Ictidomys tridecemlineatus (thirteen-lined ground squirrel) is the source of this 7938-nucleotide non-coding RNA. NCBI's taxonomy places the organism in Eukaryota, Metazoa, Chordata, Mammalia, Rodentia, Sciuridae. The record is from RefSeq and is a predicted model, not a curated record.